CCUACGGGAGGCAGCAGUGGGGAAUCUUGCGCAAUGGGCGAAAGCCUGACGCAGCAACGCCGCGUGCAGGAAGAAGGCUUUCGGGCUGUAAACCGCUUUCAGCAGGAACGAAAAUGACGGUACCUGCAGAAGAAGGAGCGGCCAACUAUGUGCCAGCAGCCGCGGUGAUACAUAGGCUUCAAGCGUUGUCCGGAUUUAUUGGGCGUAAAGAGUUCGUAGGCGGUCAAGUAAGUCGGGUGUGAAAAUUCUGGGCUCAACCCAGAGACGCCACCCGAUACUGCUUAACUUGAGUUCGAUAGGGGAGUGGGGAAUUCCUAGUGUAGCGGUGAAAUGCGCAGAUAUUAGGAGGAACACCGGUGGCGAAGGCGCCACUCUGGAUCGAUACUGACGCUGAGGAACGAAAGCAUGGGUAGCAAACAGGAUUAGAUACCCUGGUAGUCCAUGCCGUAAACGGUGGGCACUAGGUGUGGGUUUCUAUUAACGAAAUCCGCGCCGUCGCUAACGCAUUAAGUGCCCCGCCUGGGGAGUACGGUCGCAAGCUAAAACUCAAAGGAAUUGACGG
RNAcentral lists this ribosomal RNA (562 nucleotides) under uncultured bacterium. RNAcentral's name for it is "bacterial SSU rRNA". It matches the Rfam family "Bacterial small subunit ribosomal RNA", at positions 338 to 916 of the family's 1533-position model. The record is from RNAcentral.